AUACGGAGGGUGCAAGCGUUGUUCGGAAUUACUGGGCGUAAAGGGUCGCGUAGGCGGUUUGAUAAGUCAGAUGUGAAAGCCCACGGCUUAACCGUGGAAGUGCAUUUGAAACUGUCAGACUUGAGUACCAGAGGGGAAAGUGGAAUUCCCGGUGUAGAGGUGAAAUUCGUAGAUAUCGGGAGGAAUACCGGUGGCGAAGGCGACUUUCUGGCUGGAUACUGACGCUGAGGCGCGAAAGCGUGGGGAGC
RNAcentral lists this ribosomal RNA (248 nucleotides) under uncultured bacterium. RNAcentral's name for it is "partial 16S ribosomal RNA". It matches the Rfam family "Bacterial small subunit ribosomal RNA", at positions 523 to 769 of the family's 1533-position model. The record is from RNAcentral.